CCGUCGGUGUUAACUGGCAUGUCCUGUGGAACGUCCUGCCGGUGGCGGUACGGGCUCUCGGUUCCUGUGUAGGGACCAAAAUCCCGAAGCAGACCGAAAAGUUCCGGCCGCCGGUUCAUAUCCCGCCACGGUGCUCUUAAACGAGUGUCGAGGUGGGCCGGCACGUUUACUUUGAACAAAUUAGAGUGCUUAAAGCAGGCUGGUGUCCGCCUGAAUACUGUGUGCAUGGAAUAAUGGAAUAGGACCUCGGUUCUAUUUUGUUGGUUUUCGGAACCCGAGGUAAUGAUUAAUAGGGACAGGCGGGGGCAUUCGUAUUGCGGCGUUAGAGGUGAAAUUCUUGGAUCGUCGCAAGACGAACCUAAGCGAAAGCAUUUGCCAAGUAUGUCCUCGUUAAUCAAGAACGAAAGUUAGAGGUUCGAAGGCGAUCAGAUACCGCCCUAGUUCUAACCAUAAACGAUGCCAGCCAGCGAUCCGCCGAAGUUCCUCCGAUGACUCGGCGGGCAGCUUCCGGGAAACCAAAGCUUUUGGGUUCCGGGGGAAGUAUGGUUGCAAAGCUGAAACUUAAAGGAAUUGACGGAAGGGCACCACCAGGAGUGGAGCCUGCGGCUUAAUUUGACUCAACACGGGAAACCUCACCAGGCCCGGACACCGGAAGGAUUGACAGAUUGAGAGCUCUUUCUUGAUUCGGUGGGUGGUGGUGCAUGGCCGUUCUUAGUUGGUGGAGCGAUUUGUCUGGUUAAUUCCGAUAACGAACGAGACUCUAGCCUGCUAACUAGGCGAUUUCCGGUACCCUCUUUAGUGUUACCGGCGAUUCAAUUUCUUCUUAGAGGGACAGGCGGCUCCUAGCCGCACGAGACUGAGCAAUAACAGGUCUGUGAUGCCCUUAGAUGUCCUGGGCAGCACGCGCGCUACACUGAAGGAAUCAGCGUGUCCUCCCUGGCCGACAGGCCCGGGUAACCCGUUGAACCUCCUUCGUGCUAGGGAUUGGGGCUUGCAAUUGUUCCCCAUGAACGAGGAAUUCCCAGUAAGCGCGAGUCAUAAGCUCGCGUUGAUUACGUCCCUGCCCUUUGUACACACCGCCCGUCGCUACUACCGAUUGAAUGAUUUAGUGAGGUCUUCGGACUGGUGCGCGGCGGUCGGUUUCGCCGGCCGCCGAUGUUGCCGGAA
This 1167-nucleotide ribosomal RNA is filed under the name Clastoptera flavidorsa. RNAcentral describes it as "bacterial SSU rRNA". It matches the Rfam family "Eukaryotic small subunit ribosomal RNA", at positions 710 to 1752 of the family's 1831-position model. The record is from RNAcentral. Lineage: Eukaryota; Metazoa; Arthropoda; Insecta; Hemiptera; Clastopteridae.